This 492-nucleotide ribosomal RNA is filed under the name uncultured bacterium. RNAcentral describes it as "partial 16S ribosomal RNA". It matches the Rfam family "Bacterial small subunit ribosomal RNA", at positions 29 to 507 of the family's 1533-position model. The record is from RNAcentral.
AGUGAACGCUGGCGGUAGGCCUAACACAUGCAAGUUGAACGGCAGCACAGUAAGAGCUUGCUCUUACGGGUGGCGAGUGGCGGACGGGUGAUGAAUACAUCGGAAUCUACUUUUUCGUGGGGGAUAACGUAGGGAAACUUACGCCAAUACCGCAUACGACCUACGGGUGAAAGCAGGGGAUCUUCGGACCUUGCGCGAUUGAAUGAGCCGAUGUCGGAUUAGCUAGUUGGCGGGGUAAAGGCCCACCAAGGCGACGAUCCGUAGCUGGUCUGAGAGGAUGAUCAGCCACACUGGAACUGAGACACGGUCCAGACUCCUACGGGAGGCAGCAGUGGGGAAUAUUGGACAAUGGGCGCAAGCCUGAUCCAGCCAUACCGCGUGGGUGAAGAAGGCCUUCGGGUUGUAAAGCCCUUUUGUUGGGAAAGAAAAGCAGCAGGUUAAUACCCCGCUGUUCUGACGGUACCCAAAGAAUAAGCACCGGCUAACUUCGUG